Molecule: ribosomal RNA, 134 nt
Filed under: Giardia duodenalis
Lineage: Eukaryota; Fornicata; Diplomonadida; Hexamitidae
Also listed under: 1 other name
Description: Giardia intestinalis partial small subunit ribosomal RNA
Source: RNAcentral
CCGGGAGGCGGCGGACGGCUCAGGACAACGGUUGCACCCCCCGCGGCGGUCCCUGCUAGCCGGACACCGCUGGCAACCCGGCGCCAAGACGUGCGCGCAAGGGCGGGCGCCCGCGGGCGAGCAGCGUGACGCAG